UACGUAGGGGGCAAGCGUUGUCCGGAUUCAUUGGGCGUAAAGAGCGCGUAGGCGGCCAGGUAGGUCGGUUGUGAAAACUGGAGGCUCAACCUUCAGAGGUCGACCGAAACCAUCUGGCUAGAGUCCGGGAGAGGAGAGUGGAAUUCCUGGUGUAGCGGUGAAAUGCGCAGAUAUCAGGAAGAACACCCGUGGCGAAAGCGGCUCUCUGGAACGGUACUGACGCUGAGACGCGAAAGCGUGGGGAGCAAACAGG
Molecule: ribosomal RNA, 253 nt
Filed under: uncultured bacterium
Lineage: Bacteria
Description: partial 16S ribosomal RNA
Rfam family: Bacterial small subunit ribosomal RNA
Source: RNAcentral